Molecule: unclassified non-coding RNA, 380 nt
Filed under: soil metagenome
Description: partial contains 5.8S ribosomal RNA, internal transcribed spacer 2, and large subunit ribosomal RNA
Rfam family: 5.8S ribosomal RNA (bases 3-120)
Source: RNAcentral
GGUGAAGAACGUAGCGAAAUGCGAUAAGUAAUGUGAAUUGCAGAAUUCAGUGAAUCAUCGAAUCUUUGAACGCACCUUGCACCCUUUGGCAUUCUGAAGGGUAUGCUCGUUUGAGUGUCAUUGUACUCUCACACUCCCGAUCUUUGCAUUGGGAGCAGUGGACUUGGGUUUGCUGCUUCACCGUCGCUUACCUCAAAUAGGUUAGUGCAACUCUUGGUUGGACAUAGUACGGCGUGAUAAGUGUUCUUCGCCGGUGCCUCGCAAAGAGGGUGGCCGAUCGGGAUGUUGUGCUCCAAACCGUCUUCGGACAAUCUCUGACGACUUGACCUCAAAUCGAGUAAGACUACCCGCUGAACUUAAGCAUAUCAAUAAGCGGAGGA